GAUGAACGCUGGCGGCGUGCCUAAUACAUGCAAGUCGAGCGAACAGACGAGGAGCUUGCUCCUCUGACGUUAGCGGCGGACGGGUGAGUAACACGUGGAUAACCUACCUAUAAGACUGGGAUAACUUCGGGAAACCGGAGCUAAUACCGGAUAAUAUAUUGAACCGCAUGGUUCAAUAGUGAAAGACGGUUUUGCUGUCACUUAUAGAUGGGUCCGCGCCGCAUUAGCUAGUUGGUAAGGUAACGGCUUACCAAGGCAACGAUGCGUAGCCGACCUGAGAGGGUGAUCGGCCACACUGGAACUGAGACAAGGUCCAGAAUCCUACGGGAGGCAGCAGUAGGGAAUCUUCCGCAAUGGGCGAAAGCCUGACGGAGCAACGCCGCGUGAGUGAUGAAGGUCUUCGGAUCGUAAAACUCUGUUAUUAGGGAAGAACAAAUGUGUAAGUAACUAUGCACGUCUUGACGGUACCUAAUCAGAAAGCCACGGCUAACUACGUG
RNAcentral lists this ribosomal RNA (497 nucleotides) under uncultured bacterium. RNAcentral's name for it is "partial 16S ribosomal RNA". It matches the Rfam family "Bacterial small subunit ribosomal RNA", at positions 28 to 507 of the family's 1533-position model. The record is from RNAcentral.